RNAcentral lists this long non-coding RNA (222 nucleotides) under Physcomitrium patens. RNAcentral's name for it is "long non-coding RNA (PPAT_LNC013319)". Lineage: Eukaryota; Viridiplantae; Streptophyta; Bryopsida; Funariales; Funariaceae. The record is from RNAcentral.
CAAUUAGGAGUGGGACUAUGUAGAAUAGGUAAAUAAAUUUUGUGGUAAGUUAUUGGUUAGUUAUUGAUAACCUUGAGAAUUAGACUUAUGGUUAGGUAGUUUAGUUGGUAAUAAUAGAUUAAUAGUGGAAUAAAUGGUUAAAAAUUCAAAAGGACAUAACCUUUGGAAUCUGCUGGCCGAUGGUCCAUCUUUUGGUAGGAUAAAGAGAUUGAGGAAAAGAAG